CUCCAGUGCCCGCAGCGGGUCCGGCAGCCCUGGCCUUAUCCGGGCGUCGGGGCUUCGGCGGGCAUUAGCAGCAGCUGAGAGGCCUGUGAGAGGUUCUGGGGCGCCACCGCAGUCAUUCUGUUCAGCGGGUAUAGGGUUCUUGGAUAAACAAGCUCUGACGAUCAUUCCCAAACAAGAGUUCAAAAAUGUUUUCCGCAAUAGCAAUGAUAUGGACGGAAAGGAUGCCCUCCUGCACUGAUGCCUCUGGAGGACCACACUUUCCAUUCAGAGACACGCUCAGCACUCAACUCAUGCUGCACACCCGGCCGACCCCAGUACCGACACUCACAGAAUGCAGGUUGGAGAGAGAUGCCGACUUCCGAGGAGGUGUCUUCUUCGGACUGAACGUAUUCCCAAAGAAAGGCAUCUUUGGCCUGAUGAAAGCAAAGCCAGUGCUCCCUUCUCCUAGGGUCAGAAAAAGUCAGGGGUACAAGCAGCUGGAUCACUGACCUUAUGCCAUUGUCUUCAAAUCUUGAAGACAUACAUUUUAUCAUGUGGCUACUAACGAUCCUGGUGCUAUGGUUUGAAUGUCCCCACCAAAACUCAUGUUGAAAUUGAAUUGCCAUUGUUUAACAGUAUAAGGGGUGACUGGGCCAUGUGAGCUCUGCUCUCAUGAAUGGAUUAAUGCCAUUGUCAUGGAGUAGGUUAGUUUUCUCUGGCGUGGGCUCCUGGCAAAAGGAUGAGUUCUGCUGCCAUGCUGUCUGUCUCAUGCACUUGCUCACCAUGUGAGCCUUCUGCCUCACACAGGAUGACCCUCACCAGAUACUUGCACCAUGCUCUUGGACUUCCCAGUCUCCAGAACUGUGAGCCAAAUAAACUUCUUUUCUUUAUAAAUUA
Molecule: long non-coding RNA, 876 nt
Organism: Homo sapiens (human)
Lineage: Eukaryota; Metazoa; Chordata; Mammalia; Primates; Hominidae
Gene: TOMM22-DT
Product: TOMM22 divergent transcript
Source: Ensembl